Triticum aestivum (bread wheat) is the source of this 1131-nucleotide long non-coding RNA. RefSeq lists it as uncharacterized. Lineage: Eukaryota; Viridiplantae; Streptophyta; Magnoliopsida; Poales; Poaceae. The record is from RefSeq and is a predicted model, not a curated record. The transcript is spliced from 3 exons.
AGCUGAAAGGAUCCUGUCAUCAUGUUCUGACUUAGAUUUGAUUGCUCUAAACAAGAGUUAAGAUGUGUGUUAAAAUCACUGACCAUUCAUUAUAUAGUGCCUUAAUAGUGCUUUGGUAGAUGAGUAGGUGGAGUAUUUGAUGUUGCAAGAAUGAUAUGAAAAAGGAGGGAGUGCCUUGUAAGAGUGAGGUCUUCUCUUUUCCGUUAUUAAUAUAUAGUCUAUGUACUCGCAGUUAUUCAUUUAUAUUUCUUUCUGCAGUAGAUUUUACUUCUUUCUGUAAUGAUAUGUUUUUUUCGCAGGGUGUUUAUCUUAAUUGUGUUUGACUUGUGAUGGAAAGAGAAAUAGAGCCCAUCUGUACUGAAAAAGGAGGCCUGAAGAUCCAAAGAGAGAAAAGCUUCAGUAUCAGAGGGAGUUGUACGUGCUGGGGCAUUCCGUCGAUCAGAUGCGCCUUCAGUAGCCCCUGGACCAAUCAAUUCUUGUUUCUCGUGGAAUGUGGCAAUUCCUACGUGCGGUAAAUGCAUAUGAGCGAGAGUUGUGUACGUGCUGGAGCAUUCUGUACUGGUGGUAUAGCCAAUAACUCGCAGUUACGUUGGUGGAUCAGGUGCGCCUCCACUCCAGUAGCCCCCCGGAUGAAUCAAUUCUGGGUUUUCUCUGUGGAAUGUGCAAGUAUUUACUUGCGGUAAAUGCAUCGACAAGUUGUUAUGCAGUUGGACAGUCCCGUCGACCGUGCUGCUGAAGUCAGCUGUGAUGGCAUGAGAAGAACGUUUUCUUGACAGGACGUGUUUGCAGGAACAAUUUGCGAACCGAAGCGUAAAUGCUAGGGCCCUGCUGCACUUAAUCGAACAGGAAGAGAGGAGAUUUUAAAAAGAAAUCGUAGCGAAUGGGCAGCAAUAACUUCUCAACGCACAUCCUGACAAGUCCAUUGCUCCUCAGUAACACAGGUAGUAACAGUAGAAGUAGUUUUAUUUAUUUGUCUAUGGGCUCCUUGGCCUCUUGCAGUAUUUUACUGUGUUGUGCUACACAAUUACUACUACAUUCUUCAGCUAGUUGUUAGUUUUUUUCUUUUUUGCACUGAAGCUAGUAGUUAGUUUGUUACUGCCACUGAAAAAAAUACCGGCGCUUGAUACAGGU